UUGGCAUAUCCAGGUCGACAUCUCUCUGUACACCUGGAACGAGGCACUGCCUAACCAGAAAGACAAGAAGGUGCAACAAAGAGGAACAGUUAGGAGUAUUUGUGGGUCUAUCCCCAGUCAAGAUCAGCAUCUGUGUGGACUGCAGGUUGCAAAAAGGGGAAGGAAAUACCUGCCACGGCUGUAGCCUUUGGGGUCCCCAUUGCUCUCCUUCCUCCACCAUCAGCCUCCUCUGGGAUCUAGAUGAAAGCGAAGCAUGCAAGGCCUGAGCCACAGCUUGAACAUCGAUGAAUACCCUCCCCCUUGGAGUCACCCACCUUCCUGGGCGGAGAAGGUCCCUUCCGCACACCGAGCACAAGCAUAGCAGCAAAUGGGCUUUCCUUCUAGAACCACCUUGGCAUAUCCAGGUCGACAUCUCUCUGUACACCUGGAACGAGGCACGGCCUAACCAGGAAGACAAGAAGGUGCAACAAAGAGGAACAGUUAGGAGUAUUUGUGGGUCUAUCCCCAGUCAAGAUCAGCAUCUGAGGGGAUUGCAGUUUGCAAAAAGGGGAAGGAAAUACCUGCCACGGCUGUAGCCUUUGGGGUCCCCAUUGCUCUCCUUCCUCCACCAUCAGCCUCCUCUGGGAUCUAGAUGAAAGCGAAGCAUGCAAGGCCUGAGCCACAGCUUGAACAUUGAUUAUAGAAUAAAAAUUUGGAGAUCUCUGCUCCAUGACCGGAGCUUUGAUGCAAACAGCACACAGAGCUGUUCAACAGUGGAACAGACUCCCUCCGAAGGUGACCAUGUGUCAUGGAUGCUUCAGAUUCAAGGGGCAUUUCGCCUUGUGCUUCCCGCAGACUCCAAAGGGCAUCAUGAGCAGCAGAAGGAGCAACAGAAGGAGCAGGGAUCUCAUUCUGGCUCUGCCUCCUCCUCCUCUUACCUGCAC
Podarcis raffonei (Aeolian wall lizard) is the source of this 923-nucleotide long non-coding RNA. RefSeq lists it as uncharacterized. The transcript is spliced from 6 exons. The record is from RefSeq and is a predicted model, not a curated record. Lineage: Eukaryota; Metazoa; Chordata; Lepidosauria; Squamata; Lacertidae.